GAUGAAGAACGCAGCGAAAUGCGAUAAGUAGUGUGAAUUGCAGAAUUCAGUGAAUCAUCGAAUCUUUGAACGCACAUUGCGCCCCUUGGUAUCCCGAGGGGCAUGCCUGUUCGAGCGUCAUUUCACCACUCAAGCCUGGCUUGGUGUUGGGCGACGUCCCCUUUGGGGACGCGCCUCGAAACGCUCGGCGGCGUGGCACCGGCUUUAAGCGUAGCAGAAUCUUUCGCUUUGGAAGUCGGGGCCCCGUCUGCCGGAAGACCUACUCGCAAGGUUGACCUCGGAUCAGGCAGGGAUACCCGCUGAACUUAAGCAUAUAAAUAAGCGGAGGA
RNAcentral lists this unclassified non-coding RNA (329 nucleotides) under soil metagenome. RNAcentral describes it as "partial contains 5.8S ribosomal RNA, internal transcribed spacer 2, and large subunit ribosomal RNA". The stretch from base 1 to 120 matches the Rfam family "5.8S ribosomal RNA", at positions 35 to 154 of the family's 154-position model. The record is from RNAcentral.